Solea solea (common sole) is the source of this 2019-nucleotide long non-coding RNA. RefSeq lists it as uncharacterized. The transcript is spliced from 4 exons. The record is from RefSeq and is a predicted model, not a curated record. NCBI's taxonomy places the organism in Eukaryota, Metazoa, Chordata, Actinopteri, Pleuronectiformes, Soleidae.
GUGACCAUGUCCCUAUCAGUACCAGAGCAAAGUGAGAGUGUAUACGAUAACAUCAGCUGUAGAUGAAACACACACACACACACACACACAAAGGCAGUAACCAGAGCUGCUUUGGUUGAAUACAAUCGAUGAUAAGAGCCGUGCAUGUCAGGAGGAAGCUCAGUGACAGGGAGCUUGCAGUAUCUGCUUCUUCUGUUUUCCUUUUCCUCAAAGGUGCAAGGUUAUUGUGAGCGAAGGCUAUUUCUUCCCCCGUGUGCCCUGAACCUGAGAGUCUGGGGCUAUGUGUUGCAGUUUUGAGGUAAUGGUUUUAUUUUUGCUCCUGGUGCAUGCUUGUGUUUCUGCUUUCUGGUCUUGAGUCAAUCGCACUCUUAAUCAUGUCGCUGCAGGAGCGAGAGUUGAGCUCAAGCUCUGACCAGGUAAGGGCCACAUUUUUUAUUUCUUUCUUUUCUAAUUUAUUUUAAUUUUAUUUUUAAUGUGGGUGAUGAAAAGUGUAAGUAGGCUUAGUAAAAAUGCCAACAUUAUAUUUUACUUUAUUCAAACAAAAGUGAACAAAUAUUUGAAUUCACUGACGCAGACUCUACAGGGGACGCCAUUACUCAACAACAUAUGCAAAGCACUUGUUUACCACUGUGUUGAUAUUCAAAAUCUUGUAAAUAUGAAUUUCAACUCAACAAUUUAAAAGGCUUUGGGAGAACGGGAGCAGAGUGUGAAAGUGUUUCUUCACUUUAAUCAGGUGCUACAGUAUUUCUGCUUCUUUCUCAUUUAAGAGGAAAAUUGUUGUCUUUUGAGGCUGAAACUGAUGUCAGUGUUUGGUGCUUCCACGUAAUCUUUUUUUCUUUUAAUGUAAAAACUUGAUUCCUAUAAGAGCACUAAAGUGAUUUGGUUCACGUUUCCCUUUCAGUAAACGCUCUCCCGUCAGCAGGAACUCAGACCACUUGACUAAAUGAUGCCUCUGUGCAGUAACAACGCUGCAGUAAUUCACCAGAAUCUGGAUAAACAUUUGUCCAUUUAGCAUUUAGUUAAAGUCAAGUCAAGUCAAGUCAAGAGAUCUUUAUUGUCCCCGGAGGGCAAUUUGUAGCUCCAUCGUCCGAGGCCAUUACACCCCAGUGAGUAAAUGAGUUUUUGACCAGUUAUGUUUAACUCUUUUAACUCAUUCCUCUCCCAGCCCUGAGGAAAGUCAUUAGUCAUGAAUGUUUUGAGUGGAACUUCCUUUUUACAUCUGGGACAGAGCUCAGUGUUUUCUAUUUCAUCUAACGCUGUUUAAUCAGCAGCUCAGAAUCGUUCUGAAGUAAAAGACUAAAAUAAAAUACUGUAUUAAUGACUGUAACACUUCACUGAGCUCCACUGUGUUGUUGUUGUUUUCUUAUUCCUGGUUGUGAGGUCACAGUUCAUGCACAGGUUCACUCGUGAUUUUGAAUCUUUGAAUUUUCCUGUGAAUGAGAGUGGAAACACGAAGGACACGGAGGUUAUCUCCAGUGAGGUGGAGACGGAAUCAUUAACAAGCCUCUAAGGAAAUGGAGAAAUUAAUUAACCCAGUCCACCACAAAUGAUGGAAGACCAUUGCAGCUGCACGAGGAGCAAAGAAAACAAAGCAGCUGCAGCAGCAGAUGUUUGUACCAGAGGAGGUGAAGGUGCAGCUGAUAAGGCUUAUAUACAGAUAUUCAAGGAAGUGGCCAGCAGAAAGACAGGAAGCAGACCCGAGAGGCACACAAGGCUCAGACCUUGCCUGGCUUCUACUUCCCUCUGCACGACUUGUUUCUCAUCUUUCAGGUGACACCGUUAAACAAUGACCAAAGGUUUGAUUCCCAAAGCAUGUAGUACUCAAGACUCUAGUGCUUGCAUUCCAUGCUACAAACGGAUCCGGUCCAGCCUACAUCCAGGACAUGAUCAAAACCUACACCCCAGCCCACUCACUCCGCUCUGCAUCAGUAAACCGGCUUGCUGCCCCCUCACUGAGAGGAUCGCGGAGGCAUUCACAGAACUUGGGACUGUUCACUGUCCUAGCUCCCAAAUGGUGGA